This is a long non-coding RNA of Daucus carota subsp. sativus, 357 nucleotides long. RefSeq lists it as uncharacterized. NCBI's taxonomy places the organism in Eukaryota, Viridiplantae, Streptophyta, Magnoliopsida, Apiales, Apiaceae. The transcript is spliced from 2 exons. The record is from RefSeq and is a predicted model, not a curated record.
GCAGCUACAACUUGACAUUCGGAAUAUGCUAACCUAUAUAGUAUCUAUUCAGUGCACAAUGAGCUUUGCUGGGCUCGGUAUGUAAAAAAAACCCCACAAAAUCAUUACAAAAUAUCAAAGUAAAGGUUCCAUAUUUGCAUAAACUUGUAAAACCUUGAAGCCAAAUAUUUCACAUUUGGCAUUAUCAAAAUGUACCAACAUUUAACUGGAAACUAUUAUUCUGGCAAAUAAGUAAUUACUGGCGGAGAAAUGAAAAAGAACAUAGCAUUGUUUAUACACACACCAGCACUUGACAGUGGACACAAGAUCUACUAAUCUGGUGAUAAAUAGAUAACGAUAUAAAACCAAAAUCCAAAA